GACGAACGCUGGCGGCGUGCUUAACACAUGCAAGUCGAACGGAAAGGCCCUGCUUUUGUGGGGUGCUCGGGUGGCGAACGGGUGAGUAACACGUGAGUAACCUGCCCUUGACUUUGGGAUAACUUCAGGAAACUGGGGCUAAUACCGGAUAGGAGCUCCUGCUGCAUGGUGGGGGUUGGAAAGUUUCGGCGGUUGGGGAUGGACUCGCGGCUUAUCAGCUUGUUGGUGGGGUAGUGGCUUACCAAGGCUUUGACGGGUAGCCGGCCUGAGAGGGUGACCGGCCACAUUGGGACUGAGAUACGGCCCAGACUCCAACGGGAGGCAGCAGUGGAGAAUAUUGCACAAUGGGCGGAAGCCUGAUGCAGAAACGCCGCGUGCGGGAUGACGGCCUUCGGGUUGUAAACCGCUUUCGCCUGUGACGAAGCGUGAGUGACGGUAAUGGGUAAAGAAGCACCGGCUAACUACGUG
This 468-nucleotide ribosomal RNA is filed under the name uncultured bacterium. RNAcentral's name for it is "partial 16S ribosomal RNA". It matches the Rfam family "Bacterial small subunit ribosomal RNA", at positions 28 to 507 of the family's 1533-position model. The record is from RNAcentral.